CAUGCAAGUCGAGCGAGAAAGUGACUUCGGUUGCGAGUAAAGCGGCGAACGGGUGAGUACAACGUGGAUAAUCUACCCUAAGGUCCGGGACAACCCCGAGAAAUCGGAGCUAAUACCGGAUAAGACCACAGUAUCCAAGGAUACAGCGGUAAAAGAUUUAUCGCCUUUGGAUGAGUCCACGUCCCAUCAGGUAGUUGGUAAGGUAAAAGCUUACCAAGCCUAAGACGGGUAGCCGGCCUUAGCGGGUGAACGGCCACAUGGGGACUGAGACACGGCCCUGACUCCUACGGGAGGCAGCAGUGGGGAAUAUUGGGCAAUGGGCGAAAGCCUGACCCAGCGAUGCCGCGUGAGGGAUGAAGGCCUUCGGGUCGUAAACCUCUGUCAGGAGGGACGAUGGGACACUUGUGUCUUGACGGUACCCCCAGAGGAAGCCCCGGGUAACUCCGUGCCAGCAGCCGCGGUAAUACGGAGGGGGCAAGCGUUGCUCGGAAUUACUGGGCGUAAAGGGUCCGCAGGCUGUCAGGCAAGUUGGUUGUGAAAGCUCAAGGCUUAACCUUGGAAUUGCAUCCAAAACUGCCUGACUAGAGUCCAAGAGAGGUUGGCGGAAUUCCCGGUGUAGCGGUGAAAUGCAUAGAUAUCGGGAGGAACACCAGAGGCGAAGGCGGCCAACUGGCUUGGAACUGACG
This 686-nucleotide ribosomal RNA is filed under the name uncultured bacterium. RNAcentral describes it as "bacterial SSU rRNA". It matches the Rfam family "Bacterial small subunit ribosomal RNA", at positions 54 to 745 of the family's 1533-position model. The record is from RNAcentral.